AUUGAACGCUGGCGGCAGGCCUAACACAUGCAAGUCGAGCGGGGGUAGCAAUACCCUAGCGGCGAACGGGUGAGGAAUGCUUGGGAAUCUGCCUGGUAGUGGGGGAUAACGUUCCGAAAGGAACGCUAAUACCGCAUACGUCCUACGGGAGAAAGGGGGGGAUCGUCGGACAUCUCGCUAUCAGAUGAGCCCAAGGGGGAUUAGCUAGUUGGUGGGGUAAAGGCCCACCAAGGCGACGAUCCCUAGCUGGUCUGAGAGGAUGAUCAGCCACACUGGAACUGAGACACGGUCAAGACUCCUACGGGAGGCAGCAGUGGGGAAUAUUGGACAAUGGGCGAAAGCCUGAUCCAGCCAUGCCGCGUGUGUGAAGAAGGCCUUCGGGUUGUAAAGCACUUUAAGCGAGGAGGAAGGUUCGUUACUUAAUACGUAACGGAAUUGACGUUACUCGCAGAAUAAGCACCGGCUAACUCUGUGCCAGCCGCCGCCGUAA
This 490-nucleotide ribosomal RNA is filed under the name uncultured bacterium. Its description in RNAcentral is "partial 16S ribosomal RNA". It matches the Rfam family "Bacterial small subunit ribosomal RNA", at positions 30 to 523 of the family's 1533-position model. The record is from RNAcentral.